RNAcentral lists this ribosomal RNA (253 nucleotides) under uncultured bacterium. RNAcentral describes it as "partial 16S ribosomal RNA". It matches the Rfam family "Bacterial small subunit ribosomal RNA", at positions 524 to 776 of the family's 1533-position model. The record is from RNAcentral.
UACGUAGGGUGCAAGCGUUAAUCGGAAUUACUGGGCGUAAAGCGUGCGCAGGCGGUGAUGUAAGACAGGUGUGAAAUCCCCGGGCUUAACCUGGGAACUGCAUUUGUGACUGCAUCGCUGGAGUGCGGCAGAGGGGGAUGGAAUUCCGCGUGUAGCAGUGAAAUGCGUAGAUAUGCGGAGGAAUACCGAUGGCGAAGGCAGGUCUCUGGGCUGACACUGACGCUCAUGCACGAAAGCGUGGGGAGCAAACAGG